CGCAUCUGUGCAUGCAGCAUAUCAAUAAGCGGAGGAAAAGAAACUAACAAGGAUUCCCCUAGUAACGGCGAGUGAAGCGGGAAGAGCUCAAAUUUGAAAUCUUAAAGGGUUUCCCUUUACGAAUUGUAGUUUAAAGAAGUGUUUUCUGUUGAGGUUUUGGUAAAAGUUCUUUGGAAUAGGACAUCAUAGAGGGUGAGAAUCCCGUAUUUGACCUUUACUUUCAACUUUGUGAUACACUUUCAAAGAGUCGGAUUGUUUGGGAAUGCAGUCCAAAAUGGGUGGUAAAUUUCAUCUAAAGCUAAAUAUUGGCGAGAGACCGAUAGCGAACAAGUACCGUGAGGGAAAGAUGAAAAGAACUUUGAAAAGAGAGUUAAACAGUACGUGAAAUUGUCAAAAGGGAAGCGUUUGACACCAGUGUUGUUUUUCUGAAAAUCAAUUAAAGAACUGUUUAUGCUAAGUUGUUUAGACUUUAUCAGCUAACUGUUUAGUUUUGAGCUUUUCUUUAAUGCACCUUUCAGUUAACAAGUCAACAUCAAUUUCUUUUGCUGAUAAAAAAGCUUGAGGAAGGUGGCUUGAGAUUCGUCUUAAGUGUUUAUAGCCUCUUGCCUAUGCAGUCGGAGAGAUUGAGGUCUGCAGCGUAGAUCCUUCGGGGCUAAAUGCAUUUGUGCUAAGCUAUAGCAUUUCAUAGACAACUUGUUGACUAUGAUUUGUCUUGUAGCUUACUCGCUUAUGUUAUUUUACCUACGCUUAGGAUGUUGAACGCGCACAGAGUCUC
This 775-nucleotide ribosomal RNA is filed under the name uncultured Neocallimastigales. Its description in RNAcentral is "partial large subunit ribosomal RNA". It matches the Rfam family "Eukaryotic large subunit ribosomal RNA", at positions 26 to 611 of the family's 3401-position model. Lineage: Eukaryota; Fungi; Neocallimastigomycota; Neocallimastigomycetes; Neocallimastigales. The record is from RNAcentral.